Molecule: ribosomal RNA, 441 nt
Filed under: uncultured bacterium
Lineage: Bacteria
Description: partial 16S ribosomal RNA
Rfam family: Bacterial small subunit ribosomal RNA
Source: RNAcentral
CCUACGGGAGGCAGCAGUGGGGGAUAUUGCACAAUGGGGGGAACCCUGAUGCAGCGACGCCGCGUGGGUGAAGGAGUGCUUCGGCAUGUAAAGCCCUAUCGGCAGGGAAGAAGCAAGACGGUACCUGACUAAGAAGCCCCGGCUAACUACGUGACAGCAGCCGCGGUAAGACGUAGGGGGCGAGCGUUAUCCGGAUUCACGGGGGGUAAAGGGAGCGGAGGCGGUCAGGCAAGCCAGGGGUGAAAGCCCGGGGCGCAACCCAGGGACUGCCCUUGGACCUGCCUGGCUUGAGGGCGGGAGGGGCAGGCGGAAUUCCUGGUGUAGCGGUGAAAUGCGUAGAUAUCAGGAGGAACACCGGCGGCGAAGGCGGCCUGCUGGACCGCGACUGACGUUGAGGCUCGAAAGCGUGGGGAGCGAACAGGAUUAGAUACCCUGGUAGUC